UUUGAACGUUCGAUCUCAAAUCAGGUAGGACUACCCGCUGAACUUAAGCAUAUCAAUAAGCGGAGGAAAAGAAACUAACAAGGAUUCCCCUACUAACUGCGAGUGAAGCGGGAAGAGCUCGAUUUAAAAUCUGGCGUGCCUCCGGUCGUCCGAAUUGUAGUCUCGAGAAGUGUUUUCCGUGCUGGACGUGACG
This 193-nucleotide ribosomal RNA is filed under the name Tomentella cf. ellisii EN239(CORD). RNAcentral describes it as "partial 28S ribosomal RNA". It matches the Rfam family "Eukaryotic large subunit ribosomal RNA", at positions 1 to 181 of the family's 3401-position model. The record is from RNAcentral. Lineage: Eukaryota; Fungi; Basidiomycota; Agaricomycetes; Thelephorales; Thelephoraceae.